UAGCCUUGACAUACUACAGAAUUUGACAGAGAUGUUGGAGUGCCUUCGGGAGCUGUAAUACAGGUGCUGCACGGCUGUCGUCAGCUCGUGUCGUGAGAUGUUGGGUUAAGUCCCGCAACGAGCGCAACCCUCGUCCUUAGUUACUAACGGUUCGGCCGAGGACUCUAAGGAGACUGCCUUCGUAAGGAGGAGGAAGGUGAGGACGACGUCAAGUCAUCAUGGCCCUUACGGCUAGGGCAACACACGUGCUACAAUGGUUAGGACAGUGAGAAGCGAUACCGCGAGGUGGAGCAAAUCUAUAAACCUAAUCUCAGUUCGGAUAGCAGUCUGCAACUCGACUGCUUGAAGCUGGAAUCACUAGUAAUCGUAAAUCAGCUAUGUUACGGUGAAUACGUUCCCGGGUCU
This 405-nucleotide ribosomal RNA is filed under the name uncultured bacterium. RNAcentral's name for it is "bacterial SSU rRNA". It matches the Rfam family "Bacterial small subunit ribosomal RNA", at positions 976 to 1381 of the family's 1533-position model. The record is from RNAcentral.